RNAcentral lists this ribosomal RNA (301 nucleotides) under uncultured bacterium. Its description in RNAcentral is "partial 16S ribosomal RNA". It matches the Rfam family "Bacterial small subunit ribosomal RNA", at positions 509 to 807 of the family's 1533-position model. The record is from RNAcentral.
CAGUCGCCGCGGGAAUACGAAGGGUGCAAGCGUUAAUCGGAAUUACUGGGCGUAAAGCGUGCGUAGGCGGUGAGUUAAGUCUGCUGUGAAAUCCCCGGGCUCAACCUGGGAAUGGCAAUGGAUACUGGCAAGCUAGAGUGUGUCAGAGGAUGGUGGAAUUCCCGGUGUAGCAGUGAAAUGCGUAGAGAUCGGGAGGAACAUCAGUGGCGAAGGCGGCCAUCUGGGACGACACUGACGCUGAGGCACGAAAGCGUGGGGAGCAAACAGGAUUAGAUACCCCAGUAGUCCCUGUCUCUUAUAC